GAUGAACGCUGGCUACAGGCUUAACACAUGCAAGUCGAGGGGAAACGGCAUUUGGUGCUUGCACCGAAUGGACGUCGACCGGCGCACGGGUGAGUAACGCGUAUCCAACCUUCCCGUUACUGCGGGAUAACCUGCCGAAAGGCAGACUAAUACCGCAUGUUCUUCGAUGACGGCAUCAGAUUCGAAGCAAAGAUCCGUCGGUAACGGAGGGGGAUGCGUCUGAUUAGCUGGUUGGCGGGGCGACGGCCCACCAAGGCGACGAUCAGUAGGGGUUCUGAGAGGAAGGUCCCCCACAUUGGAACUGAGACACGGUCCAAACUCCUACGGGAGGCAGCAGUGAGGAAUAUUGGUCAAUGGGCGGAAGCCUGAACCAGCCAAGUAGCGUGCAGGAUGACGGCCCUACGGGUUGUAAACUGCUUUUAUGCGGGGAUAAAGUGAGGGACGCGUCCCUUUUUGCAGGUACCGCAUGAAUAAGGACCGGCUAAUUCCGUGCCAGCAGCCGCGGUAAUACGGAAGGUCCGGGCGUUAUCCGGAUUUAUUGGGUUUAAAGGGAGCGUAGGCCGGGGAUUAAGUGUGUUGUGAAAUGUAGGCGCCCAACGUCUGACUUGCAGCGCAUACUGGUUCCCUUGAGUACGCGCAACGCCGGCGGAAUUCGUCGUGUAGCGGUGAAAUGCUUAGAUAUGACGAAGAACCCCGAUUGCGAAGGCAGCCGGCGGGAGCGCAACUGACGCUGAAGCUCGAAGUGCGGGUAUCGAACAGG
RNAcentral lists this ribosomal RNA (760 nucleotides) under uncultured Prevotella sp. RNAcentral describes it as "bacterial SSU rRNA". It matches the Rfam family "Bacterial small subunit ribosomal RNA", at positions 28 to 776 of the family's 1533-position model. The record is from RNAcentral. Lineage: Bacteria; Pseudomonadati; Bacteroidota; Bacteroidia; Bacteroidales; Prevotellaceae.